AAACAAUAGAACCCUGCCCAAAACACAAUAGAAAAUGUUAUUGAUUUAUUCCAAGAUAACACAUGACGUACCGGUUACGUAAUGGAUUGGUACUUUUUGGUAAUUUCACGAUUUAGCAACUGGCAAGUACACAGCACUGGUGGCGGUUGGAGUAACCAUAGCAACCUGGGGACAUAACGGCGCCUGAAGAAGACAUAGGCCUACCUCCGGCUCUCCAGUACCUUCCUGAGAAUGCUCCUUUGCUCCACUGCUCCAGUUCCUCCACCACACCAUCAGAUCACCUGCAAGAGACAAUCUUCAAUUACCCACAGCUAAGAAACUUGCAUACCUUUACUUCCUCUAAAUACUCACCUUCAGACUGUUGCUUCUCAUCCUGCUGCCCGUUUGUCAAUAAACCUGUUGUUGUGAGAACU
This is a long non-coding RNA of Cyprinus carpio carpio, 413 nucleotides long. NCBI's taxonomy places the organism in Eukaryota, Metazoa, Chordata, Actinopteri, Cypriniformes, Cyprinidae. The record is from Ensembl.